CGGACGGGUGAGUAAUGUCUGGGAAACUGCCUGAUGGAGGGGGAUAACUACUGGAAACGGUAGCUAAUACCGCAUAACGUCGCAAGACCAAAGAGGGGGACUUUCGGGCCUCUUGCCAUCGGAUGUGCCCAGAUGGGAUUAGCUAGUAGGUGGGGUAACGGCUCACCUAGGCGACGAUCCCUAGCUGGUCUGAGAGGAUGACCAGCCACACUGGAACUGAGACACGGUCCAG
This 232-nucleotide ribosomal RNA is filed under the name uncultured bacterium. RNAcentral's name for it is "partial 16S ribosomal RNA". It matches the Rfam family "Bacterial small subunit ribosomal RNA", at positions 99 to 334 of the family's 1533-position model. The record is from RNAcentral.